Molecule: long non-coding RNA, 1120 nt
Filed under: Dasypus novemcinctus (nine-banded armadillo)
Lineage: Eukaryota; Metazoa; Chordata; Mammalia; Cingulata; Dasypodidae
Description: lncRNA (ENSDNOG00000051930.1)
Source: RNAcentral
AGGUCUGGAGCUUGGUCAACACCCAGAUUCUUGAUGAGGGUGGAACCAAGAAAAAGGCUGUUGGGCAAGCCUGUAGAAAGCAUGUGUUCUCAUAAGGCCCCAAGGAGAAGAAACCAUCAUCUUAAGAAUGACUCUCAGACUUUGAAAUGGAAUGGAGGAUGCCCUGCAGGUCUACUGAACUGUAGGGAAACUGUGACUCAUGUUUCCCUCCCAAUUUCUCCUUAUUGUUUUUUUUUUUUUUUCAGCUUUUUUGAUGACUGUUUCAAUCACAUUUUCCCAAAAGGCAGCACUGAAGAAAACCAUGUUCUUAUUCAAGAUACGAAUACCAGGAAGUGGUUAUCAUAGGACUUGCAGACAAAAGCUGUCAUUAGAAGAUGGAGAACAUUGUGGAAAUAUGAGGAAGAGGAUCUCAGAAGGUCUGUGUCUUGAAUCUUUGCGUGAGAAGAGUUUCUUGGACACAGAAUCAUAUUUUCUCGUUAAUUAUGCUGUUGCUGUCAUUUUCUUCAAUCAUGUACAUUUAUCAAUAUUAACUGAUAAAUCAGCACUAAAAUGUAUAACUACUUUUAAAAAUUUUUCAACAUUUUUUCCGUGUAAAGAGUAUGUCCAUGUAGUGACCAUUUUAAUGUUUGAUAUAAUAUUCUUUAGAAUUUACAUGCAUGUCGAUUCACCAUACGUAUGCUUUUAAGGGUCUGUAUUGUGCUAGGCUGUGUACUAGGCAGUGAGGCUACAAGAAGAAAUAAAAGACAGCAUUCCUGGUCUUUAAUGAUCUUACAAUUUAGUGGGGAAGACAAAUAAUCAUACAAAUAUACAAAUGACAGAUAUUGAAUGUCAUUAUUAAAUUUAUAUAAUAAAUAAGGCAGUGAUAUACAUGAAGAAACUCACAAUUUAACAAUCUGUUGUUGAAACAAGAGUUGGCAAAUAGGUGAAUAUGUCAGAAUAGAGAGUACAAAUUUAAAUUCACAUCUAUAUGGGGAACUCUAUUUUUGAUAAGUACAGAAUUCCAAUUUAUUGGGAAGUGUUUGUUUAUUUAUUAAAUGGUCUUGACAUAUAUUAAAAGUGUAUAAAAAUAUUAGAAAACUAUUUAGGAUAAUAUUUUUACAAACUUGUGGUAGAAGAGAGC